Molecule: ribosomal RNA, 756 nt
Filed under: uncultured bacterium
Lineage: Bacteria
Description: bacterial SSU rRNA
Rfam family: Bacterial small subunit ribosomal RNA
Source: RNAcentral
AGAGUUUGAUCCUGGCUCAGAAUCAACGCUGGCGGCGUGCCUAACACAUGCAAGUCGAACGAGAAAGGGACUUCGGUCCUGAGUAAAGUGGCGCACGGGUGAGUAACACGUGACUAACCUACCCUUGAGUGGGGAAUAACCUAGAGAAAUCUGGGCUAAUACCGCAUAACACCUACGGGUCAAAGGAGCAAUUCGCUCGAGGAGGGGGUCGCGGCAGAUUAGCUAGUUGGCGGGGUAAUGGCCCACCAAGGCAGUGAUCUGUAUCCGGCCUGAGAGGGCGCACGGACACACUGGAACUGAAACACGGUCCAGACUCCUACGGGAGGCAGCAGUGGGGAAUUUUGCGCAAUGGGGGAAACCCUGACGCAGCAACGCCGCGUGGAGGAUGAAGUCCCUUGGGACGUAAACUCCUUUCGAUCGGGACGAUUAUGACGGUACCGAGAGAAGAAGCCCCGGCUAACUUCGUGCCAGCAGCCGCGGUAAUACGAGGGGGGCGAGCGUUGUUCGGAAUUAUUGGGCGUAAAGGGUGCGUAGGCGGUUCGGUAAGUCUUAUGUGAAAUCUUCGGGCUCAACUCGAAGUCUGCAUGAGAAACUGCCGGGCUUGAGUGUGGGAGAGGUGAGUGGAAUUUCCGGUGUAGCGGUGAAAUGCGUAGAUAUCGGAAGGAACACCUGUGGCGAAAGCGGCUCACUGGACCACAACUGACGCUGAUGCACGAAAGCUAGGGGAGCAAACAGGAUUAGAUACCCUAGUAGUCC